UACGUAGGGACCAAGCGUUGUUCGGAUUUACUGGGCGUAAAGGGCGCGUAGGCGGCGCGGUAAGUCACUUGUGAAAUCUCUGAGCUUAACUCAGAACGGCCAAGUGAUACUGCAGUGCUAGAGUGUGGAAGGGGCAAUCGGAAUUCUUGGUGUAGCGGUGAAAUGCGUAGAUAUCAAGAGGAACACCUGAGGUGAAGACGGGUUGCUGGGCCAACACUGACGUGAUGCGCGAAAGCCAGGGGAGCAAACGGG
RNAcentral lists this ribosomal RNA (252 nucleotides) under uncultured bacterium. RNAcentral's name for it is "partial 16S ribosomal RNA". It matches the Rfam family "Bacterial small subunit ribosomal RNA", at positions 524 to 776 of the family's 1533-position model. The record is from RNAcentral.